Long non-coding RNA from Panicum virgatum (switchgrass), 2129 nucleotides. RefSeq lists it as uncharacterized. NCBI's taxonomy places the organism in Eukaryota, Viridiplantae, Streptophyta, Magnoliopsida, Poales, Poaceae. The record is from RefSeq and is a predicted model, not a curated record. The transcript is spliced from 2 exons.
CCACGAUUUCUUUUUCCACAAAUCAUCUAAAAUCGUGCUCUAUCAAAUAGUGACCUUGUUUUUGUCUGCUGACUACUUUGGCUACCACCUUGCACAUGGCACGCUUUCAUUCGGUGUAACGGAUGUCGAGCCGUUCAUCGGAUGAAACAUUGCCAUCUCGUCGCCACGUGCCAACAUCCGGCUCCAGGGUACCCCUCGCGGUGCCGUUCCUUUUCGCUGAACGAGCGACAAGCGUGAACCGCACUCACGCACGUCCCGACACUCUGGCCCCACAAUGAGACAGCACAUCACUAUCCGGCAGUUUUCGGCGCCGCUCCGCGCUGCGACACUACGAUGCUUUGCCACCCGCGCCGGCUUUGCCGUCUCGUCGCAUGUGUGUCGGCAACGCCGCUCCUCGCUACAGCGUUGUCUCUGUUCUCGCACCAGUACCCCGUCACGCCGCUGUCGACCACUGCCUCCUCUUGGUCUAUAAAAGGCGCAUUCGCGUAGCUCCUCCAUCACUCCCAAUUCAUUUCUGACCAACCCGGCUAUCUUUCCAACCCGAGCUCACUCGCCCUAUCUUUUCCGCCAUUGCUCAUCGCUUACUCAUCCUGACGAGCUCAUCGUACUCUUGUAGUCGCCGAGAGAUCACGAACAACGACAAGAAGAAGCCUGGAGUCCGGUGCCGCGAGAUAGGAAGUUCGUAGCACAAGCAGGAGCCCGGAGUACGUACCGCAAGCACGAGGACUAGUACCGCGAGCCGGAAAUCGAAACGCGUACCGCGAGUUGAUCUACCAGUUUGUUAAGCGAAGGCAAGUCCAACCUUUUCCCUUUUGAUCAUAUUUAUCCCAGUUUUUAAACACAACCCGUAGAAGCCUAUUUAAAAGUGCAUUCAAUUGGUAUAUGAAACCUUGAAAUAUUUUACUGCUUGAUGUAGUUAAAUACCCAAUUGAAAGGCCAUACCUUGCUAUUGUUUAAAUCCUGAUUAUUCCUUGACAACCUAAGAUUUAUCACUAAACAUGAUUAGCUCUGUUUAGAUGGAUGCCUUGAUAAAUAAUACUAGCAUGCUUAGAAUUUAUUUAUGCAAUAUUACUCAUUGUUAUUUAUCAAAUGCAAUUAUUUACAAAUGAGAAAAAUGGGAUGGUUGUUUUAAAAGGUGAGUUAAAUUUAUAAAGUAUAAUGAAUAUUAUGAUGAUGGUGGUGGUGAUUACCCAGAGAUGGGGCGGAAUAGGGUCCAUGCGUAGGACUACUGGAGAUUUGACUCGAGCCUGUGUGGUUCGGUCUUGUAGUUGUCCGCCUUGUCUCGAUUAAGGACCGGUAAUUGGCAAGAUUCUAGUCAAGUAUUACAGUGCAACCAUACGACUAAAUGGGCACUGGCCUUAGCUUAUUAAGUCAGUCGGCCCGAGAGGAUGCUACCGCCCAAGUGCUCAAGGAGCUCGUCGGUGUUGGGGUAGCUAACCCGGUCAGAUGUAUGGAGGCGAGGCGCUCCUACAGUCUAUCGUGUAGCAUAUUUUGGGUCCGGCCGAUGUAACGGCUUUGUCAUGUUAGCUUGCCGACACAUCUAAGGAAUUGUGUAUAUGCGCGCUAGCUACGCGCUGGCAUCAAAGCAAAACAUGUCGUAUGGGUAAAGUAUACAACCUCUGCAGAGUGUAAAACUAUUCGAAUAGCUGUGCUCACGGUCAAGAGCGCUUGAACUAGACAACCGGUUUUAGAGCUUUUAAAAUCUUUUUGAUAAAAUGGGAGUUGGGUCUGAUUUUGGAAAUGUCCGGCAAGAGUGUCGUGGGCUACUGCGGACAGAGUGUCCGGUAGCAUUAAAAUUUGGACUCACUUCUUUUUAUAUAUACUCACAAAUACGAUUAUAUUACUCUUUUGCUAAAACGCCUUUACAAACUUAACCUUGCAUGGGUAAAAAUCUGCUUUUUGCAAAAUAAAUCUCAGCCAAUUCCUUGUACUCCAUUAUGCAUGAACUUUUAUCCCCCUCCGUAGGGCGGGGUUGGACUUGCUGAGUACUUUUAUACUCACCCUUGCCUGCGUUUACAGAUCGCCAGAGAAGUCUAUCCGUAGUCGUCGCGUCCGCACCCGACUUGCCUGUGGCGUGGGACAUCACGAUGCUGAGUUGCGAUGCUGAGUGCUUCAUCAAUGUUGUUUUA